GUGGGGAAUAUUGGACAAUGGGCGGAAGCCUGAUCCAGCCAUGCCGCGUGUGUGAAGAAGGCCUUUUGGUUGUAAAGCACUUUAAGCGAGGAGGAGGCUCUUAAGGUUAAUACCCUUGAUGAGUGGACGUUACUCGCAGAAUAAGCACCGGCUAACUCUGUGCCAGCAGCCGCGGUAAUACAGAGGGUGCGAGCGUUAAUCGGAUUUACUGGGCGUAAAGCGUGCGUAGGCGGCUGAGUAAGUCGGAUGUGAAAUCCCUGAGCUUAACUUAGGAAUUGCAUUCGAGACUGGUCAGCUAGAGUAUGGGAGAGGAUGGUAGAAUUCCAGGUGUAGCGGUGAAAUGCGUAGAGAUCUGGAGGAAUACCGAUGGCGAAGGCAGCCAUCUGGCCUAAUACUGACGCUGAGGUACGAAAGCAUGGGGAGCAAACAGGAUUAGAUACCCCAGUAGUCC
RNAcentral lists this ribosomal RNA (451 nucleotides) under uncultured bacterium. RNAcentral describes it as "partial 16S ribosomal RNA". It matches the Rfam family "Bacterial small subunit ribosomal RNA", at positions 354 to 796 of the family's 1533-position model. The record is from RNAcentral.